GUUAAUGUAGCUUAAUUACUAAAGCAAAGCACUGAAAAUGCUUAGAUGGGUUUUUAACCCCAUAAACA
This 68-nucleotide transfer RNA is filed under the name Echinosorex gymnura. RNAcentral's name for it is "tRNA-Phe". It matches the Rfam family "tRNA". From Rfam's summary of the family: Transfer RNA (tRNA) molecules are approximately 80 nucleotides in length. Their secondary structure includes four short double-helical elements and three loops (D, anti-codon, and T loops). Further hydrogen bonds mediate the characteristic L-shaped molecular structure. tRNAs have two regions of fundamental functional importance: the anti-codon, which is responsible for specific mRNA codon recognition, and the 3' end, to which the tRNAs corresponding amino acid is attached (by aminoacyl-tRNA synthetases). tRNAs cope with the degeneracy of the genetic code in two manners: having more than one tRNA (with a specific anti-codon) for a particular amino acid; and 'wobble' base-pairing, i.e. permitting non-standard base-pairing at the 3rd anti-codon position. The record is from RNAcentral. Lineage: Eukaryota; Metazoa; Chordata; Mammalia; Eulipotyphla; Erinaceidae.